This 468-nucleotide ribosomal RNA is filed under the name uncultured bacterium. RNAcentral's name for it is "partial 16S ribosomal RNA". It matches the Rfam family "Bacterial small subunit ribosomal RNA", at positions 28 to 507 of the family's 1533-position model. The record is from RNAcentral.
GACGAACGCUGGCGGCGUGCUUAACACAUGCCAGUCGAACGGAAAGGCCCUGCUUUUGUGGGGUGCUCGAGUGGCGAACGGGUGAGUAACACGUGAGUAACCUGCCCUUGACUUUGGGAUAACUUCAGGAAACUGGGGCUAAUACCGGAUAGGAGCUCCUGCUGCAUGGUGGGGGUUGGAAAGUUUCGGCGGUUGGGGAUGGACUCGCGGCUUAUCAGCUUGUUGGUGGGGUAGUGGCUUACCAAGGCUUUGACGGGUAGCCGGCCUGAGAGGGUAACCGGCCACAUUGGGACUGAGAUACGGCCCAGACUCCUACGGGAGGCAGCAGUGGGGAAUAUUGCACAAUGGGCGGAAGCCUGAUGCAGCAACGCCGCGUGCGGGAUGACGGCCUUCGGGUUGUAAACCGCUUUCGCCUGUGACGAAGCGUGAGUGACGGUAAUGGGUAAAGAAGCACCGGCUAACUACGUG